This 453-nucleotide ribosomal RNA is filed under the name uncultured bacterium. RNAcentral's name for it is "partial 16S ribosomal RNA". It matches the Rfam family "Bacterial small subunit ribosomal RNA", at positions 29 to 507 of the family's 1533-position model. The record is from RNAcentral.
AACAAACGCUGGCGGCGUGCCUAAUACAUGCAAGUCGAACGGGGUAGCAAUACCUAGUGGCGCAAGGGUGAGUAACGCGUGGAUAAUCUGCCUUAGAGUUGGGGAUAACUAGUCGAAAGAUUAGCUAAUACCGCAUAAGACCACAAGAGCUGCGGCUCAAGGGGUCCAAGGUUUUUCGCUCUAAGAUGAGUCCGCGUAAGAUUAGCUAGUUGGUGAGGUAAUGGCUCACCAAGGCGACGAUCUUUAACUGGUCUGAGAGGAUGAUCAGUCACACUGGAACUGGGACGCGGUCCAGACUCAUACGGGAGGAAGGAGUAAGGAAUAUUGCACAAUGGAGGAAACUCUGAUGCAGCGACGCCGCGUGAGAGAUGAAGGCCUUCGGGUAGUAAAGCUGUGUCGCAGGGGAAUAACACAAUGAAUGUACCCUGUAAGAAAGGAUCGGCUAACUUCGUG